This 482-nucleotide long non-coding RNA is filed under the name Mus pahari (shrew mouse). RNAcentral describes it as "predicted gene 42439 (MGP_PahariEiJ_G0003197.1)". Lineage: Eukaryota; Metazoa; Chordata; Mammalia; Rodentia; Muridae. The record is from RNAcentral.
GUUCUUCUUCAUAGUCACAGAAACAAUGAAGAAGGUUUGUGGUGAUCAGUGUGCCAGAUGCUUGUGUUUGAUGUCUACAAGCAACACCGUUGAUUGGUAAGCAAUCAAUUACAUGUGGAUUGUAGAAUGUGUAACGUAAGGGCAUACGUCUCUGUCUCUUUUGUUGCUGCUUGAUCCAGGCUAAUCUCAAACUCAGUACGGACCUAAGAAUAACCUCCACCUCUGAGUACCAGGAUUGCAGAAGACCUGCCAUACAGAGGACUCUCAAUGCCAUGUGUUUUAUGAGCGAUGACCUCUGCCCUUGACUCUGAGAUCACAAUCACAAGGGUCUAUCAGAAAAGAAGCUGUGAUUACCUGAAAGAAAGCAGCUGCCCGUCAAUUGGCCCACCUCCUGGGAGCUUCCUGGACUCACACCUAUGAUAAUAUCCUGAGGAACAUGACAUGUAUUUUCAUAAAGGAAACAGGAGGAUUCCAAUGGUAGG